RNAcentral lists this long non-coding RNA (264 nucleotides) under Mytilus galloprovincialis (Mediterranean mussel). Lineage: Eukaryota; Metazoa; Mollusca; Bivalvia; Mytilida; Mytilidae. The record is from RNAcentral.
AUAAAACUUUUUACUAUAUAGAUAAAGGCAGAUGUGGUGUGAGUGCCAAUGAGACAACUCUCCAUCCAAAUAACAAUUUAAAAAAAGUAAACCAUUAUAGGUUAAAGUACGGCCUUCAACACGGAGCCUUGGCUCACACCGAACAACAAGCUAUAAAGGGCCCCAAAAUUACUAGUAUAAAACCAUUCAAACGGGAAAACCAACGGUCUAAUCUAUAUAAACAAAACGAGAAACGAGAAACACGUAUAUAUUACAUAAACAAAC